UUGGAGGGCAAGUCUGGUGCCAGCAGCCGCGGUAAUUCCAGCUCCAAUAGCGUAUAUUAAAGUUGUUGCAGUUAAAAAGCUCGUAGUUGAAUUUCGGGAUCAAAUUGUCGGUCGUGCCUCGGUACGCACUGGUAUUAUUGGUUCCUACCUUCUGAAGAACCGCGAUGUCAUUAAUUUGGUGUCGUGGGGAAUCAGGACUGUUACUUUGAAAAAAUUAGAGUGUUUAAAGCAGGCUUACGCUUGAAUACAUUAGCAUGGAAUAAUGAAAUAGGACGUUUGAUUCUAUUUUGUUGGUUUCUAGGAUUGACGUAAUGAUUAAUAGGGAUAGUUGGGGGCAUUAGUAUUCAAUUGUCAGAGGUGAAAUUCUUGGAUUUAUUGAAGACUAACUACUGCGAAAGCAUUUGCCAAGGAUGUUCUCAUUAAUCAAGAACGAAAGUUAGGGGAUCGAAGACGAUCAGAUACCGUCGUAGUCUUAACCAUAAACUAUGCCGACUAGGGAUCGGAUGAUGUUAAUUUUUUAAUGACUCAUUCGGCGCCUUACGGGAAACCAAAGUGUUUGGGUUC
This 564-nucleotide ribosomal RNA is filed under the name uncultured Glomeromycotina. RNAcentral describes it as "SSU rRNA". It matches the Rfam family "Eukaryotic small subunit ribosomal RNA", at positions 548 to 1114 of the family's 1831-position model. Lineage: Eukaryota; Fungi; Glomeromycota. The record is from RNAcentral.